This 454-nucleotide ribosomal RNA is filed under the name uncultured Prevotella sp. RNAcentral describes it as "partial 16S ribosomal RNA". It matches the Rfam family "Bacterial small subunit ribosomal RNA", at positions 341 to 792 of the family's 1533-position model. Lineage: Bacteria; Pseudomonadati; Bacteroidota; Bacteroidia; Bacteroidales; Prevotellaceae. The record is from RNAcentral.
ACGGAAGGCAGCAGUGAGGAAUAUUGGUCAAUGGGCGGAAGCCUGAACCAGCCAAGUAGCGUGCAGGAAGACGGCCCUAUGGGUUGUAAACUGCUUUUGUCAGGGAAUAAAAGAAGGGACGUGUCCCUUAUUGCAUGUACCUGAAGAAUAAGGACCGGCUAAUUCCGUGCCAGCAGCCGCGGUAAUACGGAAGGUCCGGGCGUUAUCCGGAUUUAUUGGGUUUAAAGGGAGCGUAGGCCGGAGGUUAAGCGUGUUGUGAAAUGUAGUUGCUCAACAUCUGCACUGCAGCGCGAACUGGCUUCCUUGAGUGCGCGGAAAGUUGGCGGAAUUCGUCGUGUAGCGGUGAAAUGCUUAGAUAUGACGAAGAACUCCGAUUGCGAAGGCAGCUGACUGUAGCGUAACUGACGCUGAAGCUCGAAAGUGUGGGUAUCGAACAGGAUUAGAUACCCUGGUA